AGUCGACGGGUCCUUCGGGACUAGUGGCGGACGGGUGAGUAACGCGUGGGAAUAUACCCUUUGGUACGGAAUAGCCUCGGGAAACUGAGAGUAAUACCGUAUGUGCCCUUCGGGGGAAAGAUUUAUCGCCAAAGGAUUAGCCCGCGUUGGAUUAGGUAGUUGGUGGGGUAAUGGCCUACCAAGCCGACGAUCCAUAGCUGGUUUGAGAGGAUGAUCAGCCACACUGGGACUGAGACACGGCCCAGACUCCUACGGGAGGCAGCAGUGGGGAAUCUUAGACAAUGGGGGAAACCCUGAUCUAGCCAUGCCGCGUGAUCGAUGAAGGCCUUAGGGUUGUAAAGAUCUUUCAGUUGGGAAGAUAAUGACGGUACCAACAGAAGAAGCCCCGGCUAACUCCGUGCCAGCAGCCGCGGUAAUACGGAGGGGGCUAGCGUUAUUCGGAAUUACUGGGCGUAAAGCGCACGUAGGCGGAUUAGAAAGUCAGAGGUGAAAUCCCAGGGCUCAACCUUGGAACUGCCUUUGAAACUCCUAGUCUUGAGGUCGAGAGAGGUGAGUGGA
RNAcentral lists this ribosomal RNA (558 nucleotides) under uncultured bacterium. RNAcentral's name for it is "bacterial SSU rRNA". It matches the Rfam family "Bacterial small subunit ribosomal RNA", at positions 60 to 665 of the family's 1533-position model. The record is from RNAcentral.